Molecule: long non-coding RNA, 1312 nt
Filed under: Hordeum vulgare
Lineage: Eukaryota; Viridiplantae; Streptophyta; Magnoliopsida; Poales; Poaceae
Description: long non-coding RNA (HVUL_LNC001733)
Source: RNAcentral
GGUGGGCGGGUGGGGUCUGGAUCAUUGAUCCUAUUUUGAUACUGUACAACUUUUGGGCUGGCGAUACACCCUUUGUUUCAUUCACUAUAUUUUUUCAAUGAUGUGCUACUUUAGAUAUUUUGUGAGUUGUGUGUUGCUUCACAGUUUGGCAUAGAAGAUAGACUAAUCCACGUAUGCUAUCUGUUUUGACAUAGAUGAUACAUUGAUUCACGUUUCACAUACCUGAGUUUUCCAUAGUUUAUAAACUUUAUAAAACUGAAGAGCAUCCCUAUAUAUUGGAUAAAACUAACGACAAAUUAAGCUUGUUAACAGAGUUUAAAAAAGUCAUAACAUAACCAAUAUAUGUUUCUCUUCAGAACUUUGUAGCGGAUUCAUCUUUUGCCCCCUCCAUUUCGGAUGAGGGAGGCAUUGAAAUCUUGUGCCUCCUCUAGCCAUGUUGUACUUGAACAAGAUGCAUUUUCUCCUAUCUGUUUAUGCAUGUCCUGCUUUUGGUUAUCUCUAGUCAUGAUGGUUUUCUUGUAUGUAAGUUCUAUUGAUCCUUGACAGCUGCAUAAUAUUUUCUAUGCAAGGACCUUGAUAUGUUUCACAUUAUUAGAAUAAUUUGUCCCCUGUAGGCAACAGACUUAGAUCCGAUGAAUGAUAUCCAUUAUUUGUUAUAUAUAGUUCCUGGAUGAUUUUUUUAGUUUUGUUAGGAUGCUCGUGCUUACAUUACACUUAAGUGACGACGAAAAUUUAACUUCAUAUUAUAGGCUAUCACAGUGUGUCCUGUUAUGGCUAACUGAUGCGCUGAAUAAAGACAUCUUCUUAGCAUUCAUACACAAACUUCGAUGCAGAUUAAAGGUGAAGAUUAGAAGUUAGACCUUCAAUAAGAAAACUAGAUUGUAGCCAAUCUUCUAUUUGAUCCCUUUGGAGAAUAGGGAUUAGAAGUACUUGAUAUGAAGGAAUGAGAAUACCCUUUUUAAGUAACUUUAACAUUCGUGCAAGCAUUUAGGGGGCUAUACCGAAGCAAAAUUCAUAUUAAUAUAUUUAUGCUUUGCAAGACAUAUAGCUCACACCAUUUGUGAACUUCAACCAGGCCUCUAUAUGUGUUCCACAUUAUGUAGUUCACAACCUUGACUCCUUUCUAUUAACGACAAUUUACGGCCUUCUUCAUUGUCAGGAUAUUCGAACCCGAGCCGAGCUAUGUUCGACCAGAAGAGGAGCGAACUAAAGGCGGCUAGGGGCGAUGUCGUGGAUCUUGAACGAGGUGAACCUCAUCCUUAAGAUGAGAGGUGGCUACAUAUCCCUCACAAUCGCAUCAUCGACACCUCCC